This 1246-nucleotide long non-coding RNA is filed under the name Astyanax mexicanus (Mexican tetra). RNAcentral's name for it is "lncRNA (ENSAMXG00005007494.1)". Lineage: Eukaryota; Metazoa; Chordata; Actinopteri; Characiformes; Acestrorhamphidae. The record is from RNAcentral.
AUGAUAAUAAUAAUCUAAUAAUAAUCUGAACCCUCACACUCUUACUUUAUUCAAUUUCAGUUUUUGGGCCACCACCAAUCAGGUACAGCCUGAAGGUCAUUGGAAAUGACAGUAAUUGUCACAAAGAGUUCAUGAGAAAUAUCAACUUCAAGCUUAAACUGCGCGAGCAGUCCCGUGAGGAUAAGAGUGACGUCAUCUUUGCUUUUGUCCCCAUUGUGUCACGAGCUGGAACUGACAUCGAAGCUGCUCUUCAGGAAAUUCCUGAUUCCAGGCCUGUUGUUCUAGUGGCUCUCCACCACACGUUUGAUCCAGAUUUUGUAGCUCCAGACAGCAGACUGUGUGUAAACAGGGCUAACGUGUUCACUGUGGACUGCCUGUUUCAUGAAGACCAAGGUCUGCUGGGAUGCCAACGCAACUUUGAGGCCCAAGAAUCAAUUGAAGAUUAUUUGAUUGGCAUCAAGAAGAUGUCCAGACUGCUGAAUUGAGUGAGCUGAAAUACUCAAUGAUGGUGUUUGGGGACCCCCUUAACUCUCACCAGACAUUUAUGGACCAACUCGGGCAACGUCUCAGUGUGGUUGAAGAGUCUUCAAUAGUUAGAAGUGACGUCAUCAUUGCUUUUGUUGCUGGAACAGAUAUUAAAGCUGCUCUUCAGGAAAUUCCACAAGAAGGGUCUAAGCCUAUUGUUCUGGUGGUGCUCCACCACACCACUGAGAAAGAUUCUAUGAAUCUGAACAGGCGGUCUGUUAACAGACAGCAAGUGUUUAUUGUGGACUGCCUGUUUUAUGGCGACCAAGGCUUCCUGACAUGUCAGAGCAACGACAAGGCUCUGAAAGCAGUAACUCUUCAUUUGGUCGCUUUAGGAGCUUCAGAAAGGUCAAUGGUAGGUUUCAUAAACUGUAUUUCCGCUGUUAUGUCCUGAUUAGGUUUUAAUAAUCUGUUUUACUGCAGUGUUUCUCACACCUCUGUUUAUGAAUAGACCUUGUUCCUCAUUUGUGUGUUCGUUAAUGAGGAAGCAUAAAUAUUAGCAUAAACAGUAUUGCUUUCUGAUCAUAUUGCAAUUAAUGACUGAGACUACUGUCUGUUCCUCACCAAUACACCAAUACACAUAUACACAUAUUUCUAUAGCGCUUUUUACAACUAAGGUUGUCACAAAGCAGCUUUACAGAGAAAAACAGGUCCACGCCUCUUAUGAGCAGCACCACAGAGAUGCCAAUUUUAUGGUGACACAUUGGCAAGAAAAAACUCC